AUCGCCUCUUGCAAAAUUCMMSUAUAAGAGGUCCCGCCUGCCCUGUGACCCUGGGUUUAACGGCCGCGGUAUUUUGACCGUGCGAAGGUAGCGCAAUCACUUGUCUUUUAAAUGAAGACCUGUAUGAAUGGCACGACGAGGGCUUAACUGUCUCCUUCUCUCAGUCAAUGAAAUUGAUCUCCCCGUGCAGAAGCGGGGAUCUCCUCAUAAGACGAGAAGACCCUAUGGAGCUUUAGACAAAAGGCAGACCACGUUUAACCCCUUCCCCCACGAAGCUAAGCACAGUGCCCCCUAGCCUGAAUGUCUUCGGUUGGGGCGACCACGGGGGAAAAUUAAGCCCCCAUGUGGACUGGGGACACUAUUCCCUAGAAUCAAGAGCUACAGCUCUAGACAACAGAAUUUCUGACCAAAAAUGAUCCGGUAAAUACCGAUCAACGGACCADGUUACCCUAGGGAUAACAGCGCAAUCCCCUCCCAGAGUCCCUAUCGACAAGGGGGUUUACGACCUCGAUGUUGGAUCAAGGACAUCCUAAUGGUGCAACCGCUAUUAAGGGUUCGUUUGUUUCAACGAUAAAGUCCUACGUGAUCUGAU
This 592-nucleotide ribosomal RNA is filed under the name Argentina australiae. RNAcentral describes it as "partial small subunit ribosomal RNA". It matches the Rfam family "Bacterial large subunit ribosomal RNA", at positions 1815 to 2609 of the family's 2925-position model. Lineage: Eukaryota; Metazoa; Chordata; Actinopteri; Argentiniformes; Argentinidae. The record is from RNAcentral.